AUGGAUGAUGAAAAAUUUGAUUUUUGGACCCAUUUUGGGUAUACCAUCGACGAACCUGCAUGCCAUUGGCUUUUAGCUCAACAGGUUGUCAUAACAAAAGUGCAAGUACUCCCACUCAAAAUCUUUCAAUGUGUAGAUUUGCUUUACCAUCAAAGAGAACUAAUUCUACUUGUUCAAUUUUCUUGGGAUAAGUUUGAAUAUGGUUGUCACGUCAUAAUUGGCUAUUCACCUAUUUCCACUAGUAAAGGAGCUAUUCAAUUACUGUUCCGAACCAAUGUGUAA
Molecule: non-coding RNA, 282 nt
Organism: Vicia faba (fava bean)
Lineage: Eukaryota; Viridiplantae; Streptophyta; Magnoliopsida; Fabales; Fabaceae
Source: the annotation of a GenBank genome assembly